AUGCUAAUGGUUAGGUUGAUUGGUUAGUUAGCGAAUGCAGAAUGCUAGAUGAUAUCGCUAAGUUGUGGAUAGUUAGGUAUUAUGGAAUUAGUCUUUAUGCUAGAUUCUGGAAUAUGAUUGAUUGUGUUAAUUUGCGAUUAAUACUAGGAACCUUGUGUUAUUUUACCGGGUUUAUUAUUAAUCAUAUAUUGGCCAUAUAGCAUUUGUGUAACCCACACUGCUAGGCAUGUUUGAGGUAGAUGUGUUGAUUUUGUGGUGACUAUUACUAGGAACCUUGUUUUAUACUACCGGGUUUAGUAUUAGUCGUAUAUUAGCCGAUAGCAUUUGUGUAACCCACAAUGGCAUAUUGGGGUGAGUUAGUGUUCCUACAGACCUCGUACCCGGCGGGUUCAAGGAAACCCCUUAUUCGCUGGAUCGGGAAGACUCAGAUAGACGGGGUCAUGGCCUAUGGCUGAGUGAUUACACGACGGUGUAAUGUGGCAGUGACCCAAAGGACUGUGGGCUGUCGCGCGGUGACCCGAAGGACAGCGGGCCGCGGUCGGUUGAAAGUUCCUUCUUCUGGCCUUUGUGGUACGAAGAUAGGAUAUUGCCGAUAGUGAAGCAGGAACAUAACGUCACCAGGGCCCGAGUUUGAUA
RNAcentral lists this long non-coding RNA (636 nucleotides) under Brassica napus (rape). RNAcentral's name for it is "long non-coding RNA (BNAP_LNC022878)". The record is from RNAcentral. Lineage: Eukaryota; Viridiplantae; Streptophyta; Magnoliopsida; Brassicales; Brassicaceae.